UUUUUAUAGUUAUAAUUAUAAAUAACACCUGCUCAAUGAAUAUUAAAUAGCGGUUCUAGCCCUAAGGUAGCAUAGUCAUUAGUCUCUUAAUUGGGGGAUAGUAUGAAUGGUGAGACGAAUAAAAUUAAGUUUUAAGUUUAAUAGUUUAAAUUAAUAUAUAAGUCAAAAAGCUUAUUUAAAGUUUAGGGACAAGAAGACCCUACGAAAGUUUAAUUUUAGCCUUUUUUAUAAUGUAUAAUAAAGAUAAAUUUUAUUGGGGUAAUAUUAUAAGACAAAAUUUUAUGAAUAAUAAUUUUUAUAGUAAGAUUUGCGAUCCAUCAUUGAUGAUUAUUAGAUUAAAUUACUUUAGGGAUAACAGCACAAUUAAAAUUUGAAAGUUCACAUUUACAAUUUUGAUUAUGACCUCGAUGUUGGAUUAAUAUUCAUAUUAGUGUAGAAGCUAUUAUUUGAAAGUCUGUUCGACUUUUUAUUAAUUACA
This 478-nucleotide ribosomal RNA is filed under the name Cyphophthalmus teyrovskyi. RNAcentral describes it as "partial 16S ribosomal RNA". Lineage: Eukaryota; Metazoa; Arthropoda; Arachnida; Opiliones; Sironidae. The record is from RNAcentral.